GGUGGGGCCUUUGUAUCUCGCUCCCGCCAGAGCUUGGGAUCAGUCUCUGCUGUUUUGAGUCCUCCACCUCGGGAGCCCCCGGUGACUGUCACAGCCUCUUGCCCUGUGAUCUGCAGGUUCUGGGAGACGCACAGCUAAGAUGCCAGGACAUCCUGGAAGCUGGGAAAAGAUGGAGUUUCACUCUUGUUGCCCAGGCUGGAGUGCAUUAUCCCAAUCUCGGCUUACUGCAACCUCCGCCUCCCAGGUUCUGACAACAAAGGAGAUUGUGACACAUUGCUGGGCCUAACACUAAGUUGAUGUUAGUUAUUUGCUUUGGCUGUGCCCUUGGAAGGCAUUGAGACAUACUGCUAUGCCCAGCACCAAGAUGAUGUAACGUGACUCUUCUGCUUCAGGCCUGCCAAAAGAAAAGAUUGUGACAGAUCACUGGACCCAGCACCUAGGUAGGAUUGUGACAUAUAUCUGGCCAAGCGUACAGAUGUAAUAAUGACUGUCAUACCUUGAAGAAGCCAAUAGGAGAGAGAAUGUUGCUCUCAGGCUUAGGAAAAUGAGGAAGUCU
This 556-nucleotide long non-coding RNA is filed under the name Pan troglodytes (chimpanzee). Its description in RNAcentral is "lincRNA". The record is from RNAcentral. Lineage: Eukaryota; Metazoa; Chordata; Mammalia; Primates; Hominidae.